Molecule: ribosomal RNA, 465 nt
Filed under: Vreelandella stevensii
Lineage: Bacteria; Pseudomonadati; Pseudomonadota; Gammaproteobacteria; Oceanospirillales; Halomonadaceae
Description: partial 16S ribosomal RNA
Rfam family: Bacterial small subunit ribosomal RNA
Source: RNAcentral
CCUACGGGCGGCAGCAGUGGGGAAUAUUGGACAAUGGGCGAAAGCCUGAUCCAGCCAUGCCGCGUGUGUGAAGAAGGCCUUCGGGUUGUAAAGCACUUUCAGUGGGGAAGAAAGCCUUGGGGCUAAUACCCUCGAGGAAGGACAUCACCCACAGAAGAAGCACCGGCUAACUCCGUGCCAGCAGCCGCGGUAAUACGGAGGGUGCGAGCGUUAAUCGGAAUUACUGGGCGUAAAGCGCGCGUAGGCGGUCUGAUAAGCCGGUUGUGAAAGCCCCGGGCUCAACCUGGGAACGGCAUCCGGAACUGCCAGGCUAGAGUGCAGGAGAGGAAGGUAGAAUUCCCGGUGUAGCGGUGAAAUGCGUAGAGAUCGGGAGGAAUACCAGUGGCGAAGGCGGCCUUCUGGACUGACACUGACGCUGAGGUGCGAAAGCGUGGGUAGCAAACAGGAUUAGAUACCCUUGUAGUC